This 429-nucleotide ribosomal RNA is filed under the name Bacteroidota bacterium. Its description in RNAcentral is "Bacteroidetes bacterium partial 16S ribosomal RNA". It matches the Rfam family "Bacterial small subunit ribosomal RNA", at positions 355 to 776 of the family's 1533-position model. Lineage: Bacteria; Pseudomonadati; Bacteroidota. The record is from RNAcentral.
UAGGGAAUCUUCGGCAAUGGGGGGAACCCUGACCGAGCAACGCCGCGUGAGUGAAGAAGGUUUUCGGAUCGUAAAGCUCUGUUGUUAAGGAAGAACGAGUGUGAGAAUGGAAAGUUCAUAUUGUGACGGUACUUAACCAGAAAGGGACGGCUAACUACGUGCCAGCAGCCGCGGUAAUACGUAGGUCCCGAGCGUUGUCCGGAUUUAUUGGGCGUAAAGCGAGCGCAGGCGGUUAGAAAAGUCUGAAGUGAAAGGCAGUGGCUCAACCAUUGUAGGCUUUGGAAACUGUUUAACUUGAGUGCAGAAGGGGAGAGUGGAAUUCCAUGUGUAGCGGUGAAAUGCGUAGAUAUAUGGAGGAACACCGGUGGCGAAAGCGGCUCUCUGGUCUGUAACUGACGCUGAGGCUCGAAAGCGUGGGGAGCGAACAGG